RNAcentral lists this RNase P RNA (369 nucleotides) under Dehalogenimonas lykanthroporepellens BL-DC-9. RNAcentral's name for it is "RNA component of RNaseP". It matches the Rfam family "Bacterial RNase P class A". Rfam says of the family: Ribonuclease P (RNase P) is a ubiquitous endoribonuclease, found in archaea, bacteria and eukarya as well as chloroplasts and mitochondria. Its best characterised activity is the generation of mature 5'-ends of tRNAs by cleaving the 5'-leader elements of precursor-tRNAs. Lineage: Bacteria; Bacillati; Chloroflexota; Dehalococcoidia; Dehalococcoidales; Dehalococcoidaceae. The record is from RNAcentral.
CAAGCAGAGCGGGCAGUCGCCGCGGUGAUUUCACCGUGGAGGAAAGUCCGAGCUCCGUCGGACAGGGCGCCGGGUAACACCCGGGAGGGGCGACCCUACGGAAAGUGCAACAGAAACAUACCGCCAGCGGUCCCGGUGACGGGAUGCGGGCAAGGGUGAAAUGGUGAGGCAAGAGCUCACCGGCGGGCGGGAGACCGUCCGGCCGGGCAAACCCCGCCUGGAGCAAGGCCGAAUAGGGGAACGUGAGGCGUGUGUCCGCGCUGUUCCCGGGUUGGCCGCUAGAGCCGGUCGGUAACGGCCGGCCCAGAUAGAUGACUGCCGCCCUCCGCAAGGAGGGUACAGAACUCGGCUUACAGCUCUGCUUGGCAA